Molecule: long non-coding RNA, 929 nt
Organism: Ostrea edulis (European flat oyster)
Lineage: Eukaryota; Metazoa; Mollusca; Bivalvia; Ostreida; Ostreidae
Exons: 2
Source: RefSeq, a predicted model, not a curated record
ACUUGAUAUUUGGUAUAAAUAAAGCACGUGUUUGACGAUCAGUGUAGUACGACUUGCCAACACGAAUAUCGCGGGGUACCUUACACUGAUUGUCGUCGUCAUCGACAAAACCGCGGCAGUCUCUUUCCUCACAGGCGGCAAUGUACAGAACUCUACUAACCAAAAUCUCGUCGGAGUAGAUAGUCAAACCUUGGACGUGUUCAGACAACUGCUGAAUCAAGAAACUAUCAUCAGAAUGAACUUGGUUAAAAAUGUCGACGCGUUGAUGAAAAACGUCGCUGUGGCCGAACAGAAAAUUUCAACAAUAGAAGCAUCCACUGAUCACGGAGGUCCAGAAAUUAAAACUUGAAAACCACGUGUUGAAAAAUGAGAGUAGAGUACAACGUAGGCGUCUCGCUAAUAUCACUGGUUACAUGAACAAAACAGUAGACAGUCUGAAGGUCGAAGUGAAGGACGCGCAGAUUCAACAGCUGAAGUUAUCCUCCGCUGUGGCCUCUCUAGAGAUGUUCCGAAUGAAUCUGAACACCAGUAUACUUGGUACUUAUGUUAUUGUUUUCGGAUUUUAUGAUUAUUUUAUCUAUUGCAUUUCCUGACCACUUCAUUAAGACAAUCCGAUUUUCUGAUCGAAAGAUUAUCUGUCACCAUCUCUGUCGUUCUUGUUAUCCUAGCUUUACACAUGUGUUUAGUUCUCGAAUCGCCGAGUAACAAAUUUAACAUCCAUCAUUCGUUGCUGAUGGGGGAAUCAAAAUGCUGAAACUGUUUUCCAAAGUGAGAUGAAUAGAAAAUAGUUGAUAAAAGUAUGUUUUUGUGAGCCUCAUGAACGUAAAAUCCGGAGGAGAGUAUCAUGAUAAUUUGGGUUGACAUCCCUAACAAGAGAUUUAGGGUUAAUAGAGUUCAAAAUAUUGCAUGCAAAUUAUACCAAAAUGUUU